UGCGUAAUAGCUCACUGGUCGAGGAGUCGUGCGCCGAUAAUGAUCGGGAAUUAAGCUAUCAACCGAAGCUGCGGACUUCGUAAGAAGUGGUAGAAGAGCGUUCCUGUCAGCGUUGAAGCAGUUCGGUAACGAACUGUGGAGCGGCAGGAAGUGAUUAUGCCGGUUUGAGUAACGAUAAAGCAGGUGAGAAUCCUGCUCGCCGAAAACCUAAGGUUUCCUGGGCAAGGUAAAUCCGCCCAGGGUUAGUCGGACCCUAAGGCGAGGCCGAAAGGCGUAGUCGAUGGGAAUCAGGUUAAUAUUCCUGAACCACGGAGAAGUGACGGACCCCUAAGUCGAGUCGCACGGCUAGAUGUGUGCGUACCGCAAGGUCGAGGGCUUGGACCGAAGCUCGCGGAUGGGGUUCCCCGAAAUAGCUCUCCAACAGUGACCGUACUAAAACUGACACAGGUAGGUGUGGUGAAUAACCUCAGGCGCUCGAGAGAAUGGUAGUUAAGGAAUUAGGCAAAUUAACCCCGUAAGUUCGCGAUAAGGG
This 532-nucleotide ribosomal RNA is filed under the name Trieres chinensis. RNAcentral describes it as "partial Bacterial large subunit ribosomal RNA". It matches the Rfam family "Bacterial large subunit ribosomal RNA", at positions 1131 to 1747 of the family's 2925-position model. The record is from RNAcentral. Lineage: Eukaryota; Bacillariophyta; Thalassiosirophyceae; Eupodiscales; Parodontellaceae.